AUUGAACGCUGGCGGAAUGCUUUACACAUGCAAGUCGAACGGCAGCACGGGGCAACCUAGUGGCGAGUGGCGAACGGGUGAGUAAUACAUCGGAACGUGCCCAGUCGUGGGGAUAACGUAGCGAAAGUUACGCUAAUACCGCAUACGAUCUAAGGAUGAAAGCGGGGGAUCGCAAGACCUCGCGCGAUUGGAGCGGCCGAUGUCAGAUUAGGUAGUUGGUGGGGUAAAGGCCCACCAAGCCGACGAUCUGUAGCUGGUCUGAGAGGACGACCAGCCACACUGGGACUGAGACACGGCCCAGACUCCGACGGGAGGCAGCAGUGGGGAAUUUUGGACAAUGGGCGCAAGCCUGAUCCAACCAUUCCGCGUGCAGGAUGAAGGCCUUCGGGUUGUAAACUGCUUUUGUACGGAGCGAAAAGGCUCUCUCUAAUACAGGGGGCUCAUGACGGUACCGUAAGAAUAAGCACCGGCUAACUACGUGCCAGCAGCCGCCGUAA
This 497-nucleotide ribosomal RNA is filed under the name uncultured bacterium. Its description in RNAcentral is "partial 16S ribosomal RNA". It matches the Rfam family "Bacterial small subunit ribosomal RNA", at positions 30 to 523 of the family's 1533-position model. The record is from RNAcentral.